Molecule: long non-coding RNA, 1046 nt
Filed under: Ictidomys tridecemlineatus (thirteen-lined ground squirrel)
Lineage: Eukaryota; Metazoa; Chordata; Mammalia; Rodentia; Sciuridae
Description: lncRNA (ENSSTOG00000032827.1)
Source: RNAcentral
AGAGCUCCCCGGCCAAGAGAAACGCGGUCCCGAGUGGGAGCGGAGAAGGGAGAAGGAGGAGGGGAUCGCGGACACUACAGAGCCCUGGACUUGCUCCUCUCCCUCCGACCCAGAAGGAAGAGGGAAGUCAGGGAGAAUUUUAGAGGUCGCUCCAAGACGGACAAGCCCUGAAGCAGUAGCAAAUCUGCGAGGGAGACACGUGCGCACAGACACACAGGCGCACCCCUCCUAAGUGCGGGGUGGGGGCACCUAGCCCCCAGGAGUGACAGGCGGGUCUGCAUCGGCGUCCGGGAGCCUGGAGAGGGUGCAAGCCUCAGGGCCACGCUGUCCGCAGUUCCGCGGUGAGACCCGCGCGCCGGGAGCGUAUUCCUCUGCAGAGCGGCCUCUGUGCUCAGGCGCCUGCGGCAGCCGUGACACUCCUGCGCCCCCUGGUGUUUCAUCGCAGUGGCGCAACCCGGCCCCAGUUGCAGUUGGCUUGGCGGAAUUGAGAGGAGGUUGGUGGGUUAUAACCCAUCUCAGCUCCCUGUCUGGACCAACACGGUUCCUAGCCUCCACUUUCCGUGAGAGCAUCUGAGGCGGUGGGAUGUGCCUGAACCGAAGGGCAUACACCGGGCAUCGCUGUGCAUUAUGGAACCAGACUCAGUGCCCAUCAAUGGAUGAAUGGAUAAAGAAAAUGUGGUCUAUACACACAGUGGAGUUGUAUUCAGACACUAAGAAGAAUGAAAUUAUAUCAUCUGCAGAAAAAUGGAUGGAACUUGAGAACACGAUGUUAAGGAAAAUAAGUCAAAUUCAGAAGGUCAUGUGUCUUCUCUCCUAUGUGGAAACUAGAGAGAAAAUAAGGGCAUUAGGUGUGUGGGGCGGUGAAAAUAAAAGACCAAAUUGAGUAGAGGACCAGGGAAGGGAGGAGGGAAGAGAAAGGGGAGGUACUGAGGAAUGAAAUUGACCAAAUUAUACUAUCCUAUCAUGUGCAUGUAUGAAUAUGUACCAAAAAAUCCACUAUUAUAAUGCACCAAUAAAAAUAAAAAAAUUAAAACUUAAAAAAGUAA